UGCCAGAUGCCUUCUUCUCCUCUUCUUGG
RNAcentral lists this non-coding RNA (29 nucleotides) under Mus musculus (house mouse). Lineage: Eukaryota; Metazoa; Chordata; Mammalia; Rodentia; Muridae. The record is from RNAcentral.